Molecule: long non-coding RNA, 293 nt
Organism: Gambusia affinis (western mosquitofish)
Lineage: Eukaryota; Metazoa; Chordata; Actinopteri; Cyprinodontiformes; Poeciliidae
Exons: 3
Source: RefSeq, a predicted model, not a curated record
CUUUCUUUGAGCAUGAGAAGAUACACAGCAAAACUAAAGAGGGUCUCUGUGAGGCCAAGUGACAAUUUGAACAAUUACCCUGGAGCCAUUACCUCUGCUGGAACCUGACUGGUUGGGAAGAGCCAGAGGAGUGAGUGAGUGAGUGCGUGUGUGGGAGUGUGCACACACCACGACGUAGAUGCAUGAGCAGAUGCUUCUCCAGAGUCAUUUACUGCAUCGACACUUAUGUGGUGGUUGUUACAGCACAGCAGGUGUGAGAGUGAAAAGCAAAGACAGCAGGAAGAUUUGAGACA